GAUGAACGCUAGCUACAGGCUUAACACAUGCAAGUCGAGGGGAAACGGCAUUGAGUGCUUGCACUCUUUGGACGUCGACCGGCGCACGGGUGAGUAACGCGUAUCCAACCUUCCCAUUACUGUGGGAUAACCUGCCGAAAGGCAGACUAAUAUCGCAUAGUCUUCGAUGACGGCAUCAGAUUUGAAGUAAAGAUUUAUCGGUAAUGGAUGGGGAUGCGUCUGAUUAGCUUGUUGGCGGGGUAACGGCCCACCAAGGCGACGAUCAGUAGGGGUUCUGAGAGGAAGGUCCCCCACAUUGGAACUGAGACACGGUCCAAACUCCUACGGGAGGCAGCAGUGAGGAAUAUUGGUCAAUGGGCGAGAGCCUGAACCAGCCAAGUAGCGUGCAGGAUGACGGCCCUAUGGGUUGUAAACUGCUUUUGUAUGGGGAUAAAGUCAGUCACGUGUGAUUGUUUGCAGGUACCAUACGAAUAAGGACCGGCUAAUUCCGUGCCAGCAGCCGCGGUAAUACGGAAGGUCCAGGCGUUAUCCGGAUUUAUUGGGUUUAAAGGGAGCGUAGGCCGGAGAUUAAGUGUGUUGUGAAAUGUAGACGCUCAACGUCUGACUUGCAGCGCAUACUGGUUUCCUUGAGUACGCACAACGUUGGCGGAAUUCGUCGUGUAGCGGUGAAAUGCUUAGAUAUGACGAAGAACUCCGAUUGCGAAGGCAGCUGACGGGAGCGCAACUGACGCUUAAGCUCGAAGGUGCGGGUAUCAAACAGG
Molecule: ribosomal RNA, 761 nt
Filed under: Prevotella melaninogenica
Lineage: Bacteria; Pseudomonadati; Bacteroidota; Bacteroidia; Bacteroidales; Prevotellaceae
Description: bacterial SSU rRNA
Rfam family: Bacterial small subunit ribosomal RNA
Source: RNAcentral